UGAACGCUGGCGGCGUGCUUAACACAUGCAAGUCGAACGAAGCACUUUUGACAGAUUCUUCGGAUGAUGGAUUUAGUGACUGAGUGGCGGACGGGUGAGUAACGCGUGGGUAACCUGCCUCAUACAGGGGGAUAACAGUUAGAAAUGACUGCUAAUACCGCAUAAGCGCACAGGACCGCAUGGUCUGGUGUGAAAAACUCCGGUGGUAUGAGAUGGACCCGCGUCUGAUUAGCUAGUUGGUGGGGUAACGGCCUACCAAGGCAACGAUCAGUAGCCGGCCUGAGAGGGUGAACGGCCACAUCGGGACUGAGACACGGCCCAAACUCCUACGGGAGGCAGCAGUGGGGAAUAUUGCACAAUGGGGGAAACCCUGAUGCAGCGACGCCGCGUGAGCGAUGAAGUAUUUCGGUAUGUAAAGCUCUAUCAGCAGGGAAGAAAAUGACGGUACCUGACUAAGAAGCACCGGCUAAAUACGUGCCAGCAGCCGCGGUAAUACGUAUGGUGCAAGCGUUAUCCGGAUUUACUGGGUGUAAAGGGAGCGUAGACGGCUGUGUAAGUCUGAUGUGAAAACCCGGGGCUCAACCCCGGGACUGCAUUGGAAACUAUGCAGCUAGAGUGUCGGAGAGGUAAGCGGAAUUCCUAGUGUAGCGGUGAAAUGCGUAGAUAUUAGGAGGAACACCAGUGGCGAAGGCGGCUUACUGGACGAUAACUGACGUUGAGGCUCGAAAGCGUGGGGAGCAAACAGGAUUAGAUACCCUGGUAGUCCACGCCGUAAACGAUGACUACUAGGUGUCGGGUAGCAAAGCUAUUCGGUGCCGCAGCAAACGCAAUAAGUAGUCCACCUGGGGAGUACGUUCGCAGAAUGAACUCAAAUGAAUUGACGG
RNAcentral lists this ribosomal RNA (884 nucleotides) under uncultured Coprococcus sp. RNAcentral's name for it is "bacterial SSU rRNA". It matches the Rfam family "Bacterial small subunit ribosomal RNA", at positions 30 to 916 of the family's 1533-position model. The record is from RNAcentral. Lineage: Bacteria; Bacillati; Bacillota; Clostridia; Lachnospirales; Lachnospiraceae.